AGUGAACGCUGGCGGUAGGCCUAACACAUGCAAGUCGAACGGCAGCACAGUAAGAGCUUGCUCUUACGGGUGGCGAGUGGCGGACGGGUGAGGAAUACAUCGGAAUCUACUUUUUCGUGGGGGAUAACGUAGGGAAACUUACGCUAAUACAGCAUACGACCUACGGGUGAAAGCAGGGGAUCUUCGGACCUUGCGGGAUUGAAUGAGCCGAUGUCGGAUUAGCUAGUUGGCGGGGUAAAGGCCCAGCAAGGCGACGAUCCGUAGCUGGUCUGAGAGGAUGAUCGGCCACACUGGAACGGAGACACGGUCCAGACUCCUACGGGAGGCAGCAGUGGGGAAUAUUGGACAAUGGUCGCAAGCCUGAUCCAGCCAUACCGCGUGUGUGAAGAAGGCGUUCGGGUUGUAAAGCCCUUUUGUUGGGAAAGAAAAGCAGCAGGUUAAUACCCCGCUGUUCUGACGGUACCCAAAGAAUAAGCACCGGCUAACUUCGUG
RNAcentral lists this ribosomal RNA (492 nucleotides) under uncultured bacterium. Its description in RNAcentral is "partial 16S ribosomal RNA". It matches the Rfam family "Bacterial small subunit ribosomal RNA", at positions 29 to 507 of the family's 1533-position model. The record is from RNAcentral.